UGACGGUAACUUACCAGAAAGGGACGGCUAACUACGUGCCAGCAGCCGCGGUAAUACGUAGGGGGCAAGCGUUAUCCGGAUUUACUGGGUGUAAAGGGAGCGUAGACGGAGUGGCAAGUCUGAUGUGAAAGGCAUGGGCUCAACCUGUGGGCUGCAUUGGAAACUGUCAUUCUUGAGUGCCGGAGGGGUAAGCGGAAUUCCUAGUGUAGCGGUGAAAUGCGUAGAUAUUAGGAGGAACACCAGUGGCGAAGGCGGCUUGCUGGACGACAACUGACGCUGAGGCGCGAAAGCGUGGGGAGCAAACAGGAUUAGAUACCCUG
Molecule: ribosomal RNA, 320 nt
Filed under: uncultured bacterium
Lineage: Bacteria
Description: bacterial SSU rRNA
Rfam family: Bacterial small subunit ribosomal RNA
Source: RNAcentral